UGAGGAAUUAUGCGCAAUGGACGAAAGUCUGACGCUGCGACGUCGCGUGGGUGAUGAAGGUCUUCGGAUCGUAAAACCCUGUCGAGAGGGAAGAAAGAGCGGGCGCUAAUAUCGCCUACUUCUGACGGUACCUCUGGAGGAAGCCCCGGCUAACUACGUGCCAGCAGCCGCGGUAAUACGUAGGGUGCGAGCGUUAAUCGGAAUUACUGGGCGUAAAGCGUGCGCAGGCGGUUAUAUAAGACAGAUGUGAAAUCCCCGGGCUCAACCUGGGACCUGCAUUUGUGACUGUAUAGCUAGAGUACGGUAGAGGGGGAUGGAAUUCCGCGUGUAGCAGUGAAAUGCGUAGAUAUGCGGAGGAACACCGAUGGCGAAGGCAAUCCCCUGGACCUGUACUGACGCUCAUGCACGAAAGCGUGGGGAGCAAACAGGAUUAGAUACCCCGGUAGUCCCUGAGCGGGCUGGCAAGGCGCAU
RNAcentral lists this ribosomal RNA (472 nucleotides) under uncultured bacterium. RNAcentral's name for it is "bacterial SSU rRNA". It matches the Rfam family "Bacterial small subunit ribosomal RNA", at positions 355 to 825 of the family's 1533-position model. The record is from RNAcentral.